GAUGAACGCUAGCUACAGGCUUAACACAUGCAAGUCGAGGGGUAACGAGAGGAAAGCUUGCUUUCCUUGUCGACGACCGGCGCACGGGUGAGUAACGCGUAUCCAACCUGCCCCCAACUAAGGAAUAACCUUGCGAAAGUAAGACUAAUACCUUAUAAUUUCCUCAGAUGUCAUCUGACGAGGAAUAAAGAUUUAUCGGUUGUGGAUGGGGAUGCGUCUGAUUAGCUUGUUGGCGGGGUAACGGCCCACCAAGGCAACGAUCAGUAGGGGUUCUGAGAGGAAGGUCACCCACAUUGGAACUGAGACACGGUCCAAACUCCUACGGGAGGCAGCAGUGAGGAAUAUUGGUCAAUGGGCGAAAGCCUGAACCAGCCAAGUAGCGUGCAGUAUGACGGCCCUAUGGGUUGUAAACUGCUUUUAUACAGGAAUAAAGUUAGCCACGUGUGGUUAUUUGUAGGUACUGUAUGAAUAAGGACCGGCUAAUUCCGUGCCAGCAGCCGCGGUAA
This 506-nucleotide ribosomal RNA is filed under the name uncultured bacterium. RNAcentral describes it as "partial 16S ribosomal RNA". It matches the Rfam family "Bacterial small subunit ribosomal RNA", at positions 28 to 523 of the family's 1533-position model. The record is from RNAcentral.